RNAcentral lists this unclassified non-coding RNA (391 nucleotides) under soil metagenome. RNAcentral describes it as "partial contains 5.8S ribosomal RNA, internal transcribed spacer 2, and large subunit ribosomal RNA". The stretch from base 1 to 120 matches the Rfam family "5.8S ribosomal RNA", at positions 35 to 154 of the family's 154-position model. The record is from RNAcentral.
GAUGAAGAACGUAGCGAAAUGCGAUAAGUAGUGUGAAUUGCAGAAUUCAGUGAAUCAUCGAAUCUUUGAACGCACCUUGCGCCCCUUGGUAUUCCGAGGGGCAUGCCUGUUUGAGUGUCAUUAAAUUAUCAACCCGAAGAGCUUUCGCGCUCUCCGGUGCUUGGACUUUGGAGUCGUGCGGGUCGUUCAGAUCCGCUCCUCUUGAAAUGCAUUAGCGGUACCAACAGCGGACCUGCCCUGGCGUGAUAAUUAUCUACGUCGCGGUCGCGAAGCUUAACCUUUAUGGGUGUUCUGCUCACAACCGUCGCGCUUGCGACAAUCUCAUUGACAAUUUUGACCUCAGAUCAGGUAGGAUUACCCGCUGAACUUAAGCAUAUCAAUAAGCGGAGGA